GACGAACGCUGGCGGCGUGCUUAACACAUGCAAGUCGAACGGGAAGGCCCUGCUUUUGUGGGGUGCUCGAGUGGCGAACGGGUGAGUAACACGUGAGUAACCUGCCCUUGACUUUGGGAUAACUUCAGGAAACUGGGGCUAAUACCGGAUAGGAGCUCCUGCUGCAUGGUGGGGGUUGGAAAGUUUCGGCGGUUGGGGAUGGACUCGCGGCUUAUCAGCUUGUUGGUGGGGUAGUGGCUUACCAAGGCUUUGACGGGUAGCCGGCCUGAGAGGGUGACCGGCCACAUUGGGACUGAGAUACGGCCCAGACUCCGACGGGAGGCAGCAGUGGGGAAUAUUGCACAAUGGGCGGAAGCCUGAUGCAGCAACGCCGCGUGCGGGAUGACGGCCUUCGGGUUGUAAACCGCUUUCGCCUGUGACGAAGCGUGAGUGACGGUAAUGGGUAAAGAAGCACCGGCUAACUACGUG
Molecule: ribosomal RNA, 468 nt
Filed under: uncultured bacterium
Lineage: Bacteria
Description: partial 16S ribosomal RNA
Rfam family: Bacterial small subunit ribosomal RNA
Source: RNAcentral